Molecule: long non-coding RNA, 1245 nt
Organism: Harpia harpyja (harpy eagle)
Lineage: Eukaryota; Metazoa; Chordata; Aves; Accipitriformes; Accipitridae
Exons: 2
Source: RefSeq, a predicted model, not a curated record
UUUUGCAACACGUGCAGUGUUUGCAGUUCGUAUAGUAUGUUUGUGUGCUUAUUGUUAAAUCUGUUAUAGUGUAGUGAGUCUUCACUACUGUGUUGUAUGCAUGAGUAUAGUUAUGCACUGGUUUGAAUUAGAAUAAUGUUGCAUGCACUGUUUGUCCUACAGCAGUGUCUGGACUAAAAGGCUGCAUGUUCCUUGGUAUUUAAUUGAAUGCAAUCAGUUUACUGCACGCAGCUUCAGAAAGUCACACCUCCCCAUGCUGAGUAAAACAUUAUCCUGCAUGCUGUGUUAAUAGCAAGUAGAUCAGAGGACUGAAAUACUUUGUAUCAGCAGUGGACCUGAAUCCAGACUCUGAUCCCAAUUCUCUCCAUGAACUCUGUUGGGCUGAACAAUUUGAAAGAGAUUCCUCUCCAGAUUUGGGGCCUGAACUUUAUUAAUCUUGAAAACGAAAUACAUUUACGUCAAUAUCCCAAGCUUCUGGAGAGGAGAUGAUGGAAAUCCAGAUUUUAGAGCUGGGUUUGAGUCCAGUGCUAAACAGUGUGAAUGAAGUUCAGUUGAUGUAGUGUUUCGUUCAACCACAUCUGUAUUCUUUGCAGAAAUUCACUGUCAGCAAGCAUCACUGAAAAAAGGACGGAAGACAUUGAAAAGGAAGAAUGUUUCCCCUGUGAUUUUUGAAGGCGGAUAGAUUUUCUACAUGUGAAAAAACUCCGUUUCAAGAAACAAAAGGAGGAGCGGAGGGGAAGAAAAGGAGGAAUCAUCAUCUCCUUGCUCCACGAGUGACAACAGCUUGCGUGCCACGUCUGCUGAUGUCGCCUUAUUCCACAAACCUUUUCUUCCAGGCUUUCUGUCACUUGUGUGGUCAGGACAGGCUUCACUUCGGUCAGGCUGGUGUGACAAAUGGCAUCGCUGGGUCUCUGCGCCCCUUCCUGGGGGGGCUCCCCUGCAGGGGUACUCCCUGCACGGUACUCUGAACUCGUGGCAGUAGGUGCAUCCACACCAUGCAGUUGUUUCCCCUUCCUGUCCAUACUCUAUGUUCUGUUUUCCUCAGCUACUUCUCCAGCCUUACAUCUUCCAGACAUGGUCAAUUUACCAGUUGACGUUUAAAAUUCCAUAAACAGUAAUAUACUGGCUUAGUCUUCAGAGCCAGCGAAUAUCCCCUGUGCUACUUCAGACAGCACACACACAUUUUGACUGUGUUGCAAAUGAACAAAUAAUAUUUCAGUUAUUAAAUGUAUUUCUAAAAAUGUA